RNAcentral lists this ribosomal RNA (502 nucleotides) under uncultured bacterium. Its description in RNAcentral is "partial 16S ribosomal RNA". It matches the Rfam family "Bacterial small subunit ribosomal RNA", at positions 30 to 523 of the family's 1533-position model. The record is from RNAcentral.
AUUGAACGCUGGCGGCGUGCCUAACACAUGCAAGUCGAGCGGUAACAGGUGUAGCAAUACAUGCUGACGAGCGGCGAACGGGUGAGUAAUGCUUCGGAAUCUACCUUAUGGUGGGGAAUAACUAGCCGAAAGGUUAGCUAAUACCGCAUACGUCCUACGGGAGAAAGCAGGGGAUCGCAAGACCUUGCGCCAAAAGAUGAGCCGAAGUCGGAUUAGCUAGUUGGUAGGGUAACGGCCUACCAAGGCGACGAGCCGUAGCUGGUCUUCGAGGACGACCAGCCAAACUUGGACUGAGACACGGCCCAGACUCCUACGGGAGGCAGCAGUGGGGAAUAUUGGACAAUGGGGGAAACCCUGAUCCAGCGACGCCGCGUGUGUGAAGAAGGCCUGCGGGUUGUAAAGCACUUUUAGUGGGGAUGAAAUGUGCAGGGUUAAUACCUCUGCAUUUUGACCUAACCCACAGAAAAAGCACCGGCUAACUCUGUGCCAGCCGCCGCGGUAA